Molecule: long non-coding RNA, 235 nt
Filed under: Lathyrus oleraceus (garden pea)
Lineage: Eukaryota; Viridiplantae; Streptophyta; Magnoliopsida; Fabales; Fabaceae
Description: Pisum sativum (pea) long non-coding RNA (PSAT_LNC013129)
Source: RNAcentral
UGAAAUAUUGGAUGAACGAAAUUGGGUUAUGAUUGAGAGGAAUUCGUAGGAAUUAGAUGUAAAAAUGUUAGAUUUUUGUGAAAUCGAAUAGGGUAUGAUUCGUGUUAGAUGAUAUGAACAAUUAUUGUAAAAAAUUGGACUGUGGAAGGUUGAAUUGGAUAGAUCUCGUAGCAGAGAAAGCCAUAGCAGAUCUGGAAGUCUGGUUUCUGGUCAUACGCGUAUGGCACUAGGCAGU